CUUUCUUUGGAGGCGGACACACAUUCUUCAAACAAUAUCUCUGUUGCUGUAUAUAAUGAUCGUUUGGUUCUGCUCAUUUUACUCUUCAUAAUUUCAUCAUCUGCUUCUGCUGCCUUCAUGGCCCCUGGAACAAAUUGAUCUCAUCUACUCUUUCUGCCAGGGAAGUCUUCAUAUGCCUGGGGCAGACACCAAGAUACAUACAUAGUAGAUGGAAGAGUGGGCAACUGAAGUCCAGAAGAAGUUAAACGACUUAAUGAAGUCAGAGAGCCAGUUUAAGGCAGACAAGGAACUACGAAGUCAGGUCAUCUGUGGGUUUUCCAUGACACGCCAUAUUGAUGUGGGACCCAGAGCUUCACAGCAUUAUCUGUUGGCAGAAGGCCUCAAAUCAACAUCGCUGCCAAUUUCAGGAUAAAUCCAUUCUCCUCCCCACCCCCUUUACCAUUUAAAAACCUUCACCAACACAUUUAGAACCUGACAUGUGCCAAACUGCCCAAUUACUUCUUGCCUAUCAUUAAAACGUAAGCACUAAACACUGGGUUUGAGAAUACAUCAUACCAACUGUCUAAACACAAACUGAAGUGAAUUCAAGACUCCCAAAGAGGAUCAUAGCACAGGAUUGAAAUCAUUCAGUUUGGCCCAGAUUCAAAAUGCCAUUUAAAAUUGAGCUCAAAAAACGGCCUGUUUGUGAAAAGGACUGGAUUGACAAACCUGAAUGCUGAAGUCCUGUAUUUACCCAGAAGCCAGAAGAGCUUCUCUCUGAAGGGAGAGCAGGACAGUUUUCUUUCGAGAAGCCUUUUGGCAAGAGAAAUACUCACUACUGAGUCUAUAACUCAACCAUAUUGGCUUGGGCCCCCAGUUCUAUUUCUGAAGACUCAUUCAAGUCCAGUCCAACUUGGGAAGAAAAGGGGAGAUGGGAGGAUGGCAAUAAGUGAAUAGAAGAAAGUAAAUUAGACUUAGAUUCAGAAGAUCUGAGUUUGGCUCUUGCUCUUGCUGUGCGACAUGGGCAAGUCUCCUAAAAUCCUCAAGUCUCAUUUCUCUCAUCUAGAAAAAGGGAAUGAUAAUACUCACACUAUUUACUUCACAAGAGGAGCUGUGAGAAUCUAGUGAGAUAAUAUACCAAUAUGUAGCAGUCCACCCCUAGCUAUGGGCAAGGGAAACAGUUAGUAUGUACAGAGUGGCUUAGAAGAGAACAUGCUCAGUCUUGAGCAUGGCUGGGAAAGCCUCUGACCCUUCACCCCAGCUUCCCCCAGAUUAGGUGGAAAAACAGGUUUCUUUGUGUCCACCUGGCUAAGAGAAACCACACCUAUACCUUGUCGUUAACCAAUGAUAAUCAUCCCUAUGUAUUGUGUAUAUUUGCAUAUCAAAGAGAUUAAAUACCGGGCCACAGCAAGCUCCACCUUCUCUUCCUCUCU
Molecule: long non-coding RNA, 1412 nt
Filed under: Monodelphis domestica (gray short-tailed opossum)
Lineage: Eukaryota; Metazoa; Chordata; Mammalia; Didelphimorphia; Didelphidae
Description: lncRNA (ENSMODG00000037897.1)
Source: RNAcentral